This 253-nucleotide ribosomal RNA is filed under the name uncultured bacterium. RNAcentral describes it as "partial 16S ribosomal RNA". It matches the Rfam family "Bacterial small subunit ribosomal RNA", at positions 524 to 776 of the family's 1533-position model. The record is from RNAcentral.
UACGGAGGGUGCAAGCGUUAUCCGGAUUCACUGGGUUUAAAGGGUGCGUAGGUGGGUUGGUAAGUCAGUGGUGAAAUCUCCGAGCUUGACUUGGAAACUGCCAUUGAUACUAUCAGUCUUGAAUAUUGUGGAGGUCAGCGGAAUAUGUCAUGUAGCGGUGAAAUGCUUAGAUAUGACAUAGAACACCAAUUGCGAAGGCAGCUGGCUACACAAAUAUUGACACUGAGGCACGAAAGCGUGGGGAUCAAACAGG